CUUCUUGGAUAAAUUCAUGUUUCAAGAAAGUGGCGUGCCUACUAACAAACUCUUUUUGUUCAAUAGGGUGGUUGAAAUAAUAUCUAUUAAUUUCAUUAAGAUACUUUACAGACCUACACUUGUCUGAUCUAGUAUUAGGCUUAUGUCCAAAAAUAUUUUUGACAUAAGUAGGACAGUCCAAAGUCUUAAGAUAUUCAAGAUUAGGCUUCCUUCCAUUCUACAUCUCAUAUGGACUGCUUGCAACAGAC
This 248-nucleotide long non-coding RNA is filed under the name Elaeis guineensis (African oil palm). Its description in RNAcentral is "long non-coding RNA (EGUI_LNC060300)". The record is from RNAcentral. Lineage: Eukaryota; Viridiplantae; Streptophyta; Magnoliopsida; Arecales; Arecaceae.